GUAGCAGGCCCCCGUGGAGGAUUAACACAGUGGCUCAACACCGGGAAGGAACUGGCUCUUGGAGUCCGGACAUCUGAAACUUGAAUUAACAAGCCAACAUCAGUCUCCAGAGUGAAUCCAAGGAGAGGACCCAAGACAUUCAUGUUCUGUGAUGUGGUGACAUGUUACCUGUCAUCUCUGAUGCACAACUCCUAAAGUGUUUGCAUCUGGGGCAGUUGUACAGAUUGCAGAAGCUAAUACUCAAGAUGUUCUCCAAGGCCAACUACUCAUCAGUUUAUUCAUGUUUCUGGGAUUGGAUUCAUGAACUCAUCCUUUGAACUAUUUCAACAAGCUUUUUCAUGUAACUAAUCUGCGGAAGGUAGAAAGGGUAAAACUGUUGGGUGCUAAAAUGACAACUGGUUCAAGGUACAACGGCGAAUAUUUUUAUUUCUGCAACUUUUCUUAGAGGUUGGAAACUGGACUAGGCAGGAAGAUUCCGUUUUGUAAGAUUAGUCUCCAGUUUUCAUCAAGCAGUUUAGUGGGGUAUUUUAGACCCAGUUCCCUCUCCACAGUCCCCAAAGUUCUUCUGUUAACUUUAAAUCAGCAAAGAGAGAGAUCUCUGCCAAGCAUCAACUGCAAGAGCAUGUGGGUCAAAGUUACCAGCAGACACUCAAAGCACAUUCACUUUACUUCAACACUGCUUUAUAAAUUAUCUUAGAGAUGUUGUCAAGGUUGGUAUCAGAGGAGGAGCAUCAGAUAAUUAGGCAGCAGUCCAACAAUUAGGUUUUGUGGAACUUUUACUAUGUCAUCUAUUUAUUGGAAUUCCCCCUGGAUACCAGGACCCCCUCCAGCAGAGCUUAAAGUUAUAGUGACAGGAAGUACAAAUUCCGUAUGUGGAUCCCUGGAAGUGUGAUGAGAGGAACCACUGUUUCCAAGAUCUAUUUAUUCUAUUUAUUAGGCCUAUAAAAUCAUGUAAUGACCAUGGCUUCAACUAGACUCU
This 979-nucleotide long non-coding RNA is filed under the name Pongo abelii (Sumatran orangutan). RNAcentral describes it as "lincRNA". The record is from RNAcentral. Lineage: Eukaryota; Metazoa; Chordata; Mammalia; Primates; Hominidae.